AGAGAGAGAGAGAGAGAGAGAGAAUGUGUGCACGCAGAUAUAAGAAGUUGGGGUUGAUGAUCCACAUGAUGGUGAUGGACCAGGACAGCUCUGGACCUCCUGACUGGCAGCUCCAUCCUCAACCUCUCUUCCUGCCCUUCACACAUGUGCAGGCAGCCAGUUUUCUGAAAGAUGGUUGAUGUCAGUACGACCAUGUUGUGAUGGAGGCUUCCACCUGAGCUGAACACAGAAACUUGCACACAGUGAUGGAAGCAGUCGUUCCUGUUCAGCAUCGAUAUGCCAGUAAUGGGUUUGAUGAGCCACAGCAUGGUGAUGGGCAAUCAGCAUCAGGACCAGGGCAGCCCACAAGGAGAACCUCCUGCCCUGCCUCGUCAUCCUCAACCUCCCAUCUCCCUGCUCUUCACACAUGUGCAGGCACGGAGCCAGUUUUCAGAGGGAGGGCUGAUGACACCAGCAACUUUGGUUCUGAACCUGAUCAACCCAGCACCAACCACUGUGCCGCUCCUCCUCUGCCAACUGCACCACAUGGCUCCACCAUCUCAAAAAGGCACAGACACUACUCCACUUCCUGCGAAGGAUGAGAGAAGAGCCGACCGCCCCACAUCGGCACUCACCACCUUCUACAGGGGUGUCAUUGAGAGCAUCCUG
Engraulis encrasicolus (European anchovy) is the source of this 648-nucleotide long non-coding RNA. RefSeq lists it as uncharacterized. The record is from RefSeq and is a predicted model, not a curated record. NCBI's taxonomy places the organism in Eukaryota, Metazoa, Chordata, Actinopteri, Clupeiformes, Engraulidae. The transcript has 4 exons.